CCGGUGCCAUAUAAUUAAGUACAGGUUAUACUUCAAGCUUUCUCGAUCUGUUUGCAGGCGAAUAGGUUGACUCGAUGAGUAUUUGAUUUGGCCGAUGACCCAUGUUCAAGGAUCACUUAUGUUUCAGACUAUACAAAGAUUGCCUUUUGGUUAUCACAAGGUCUCAAUGCACCUAAUGACAGCAACCAACAUUGAGUCAUCACAUUCUUUCCGUUUACAUCUCAGGUAGGUUGGGUAUUGAGACCAAGAAAUUCAGCGCCA
Molecule: long non-coding RNA, 261 nt
Organism: Helianthus annuus (common sunflower)
Lineage: Eukaryota; Viridiplantae; Streptophyta; Magnoliopsida; Asterales; Asteraceae
Exons: 4
Source: RefSeq, a predicted model, not a curated record